GCAUAGCCGACCUGAGAGGGUGAUCGGCCACACUGGAACUGAGACACGGUCCAGACUCCUACGGGAGGCAGCAGUAGGGAAUCUUCCGCAAUGGGCGAAAGCCUGACGGAGCAACGCCGCGUGAGUGAUGAAGGUCUUCGGAUCGUAAAACUCUGUUAUUAGGGAAGAACAUAUGUGUAAGUAACUGUGCACAUCUUGACGGUACCUAAUCAGAAAGCCACGGCUAACUACGUGCCAGCAGCCGCGGUAAUACGUAGGUGGCAAGCGUUAUCCGGAAUUAUUGGGCGUAAAGCGCGCGUAGGCGGUUUUUUAAGUCUGAUGUGAAAGCCCACGGCUCAACCGUGGAGGGUCAUUGGAAACUGGAAAACUUGAGUGCAGAAGAGGAAAGUGGAAUUCCAUGUGUAGCGGUGAAAUGCGCAGAGAUAUGGAGGAACACCAGUGGCGAAGGCGACUUUCUGGUCUGUAACUGACGCUGAUGUGCGAAAGCGUGGGGAUCAAACAGGAUUAGAUACCCUGGUAGUCCACGCCGUAAACGA
This 536-nucleotide ribosomal RNA is filed under the name Staphylococcus aureus. RNAcentral describes it as "bacterial SSU rRNA". It matches the Rfam family "Bacterial small subunit ribosomal RNA", at positions 281 to 809 of the family's 1533-position model. The record is from RNAcentral. Lineage: Bacteria; Bacillati; Bacillota; Bacilli; Caryophanales; Staphylococcaceae.